RNAcentral lists this ribosomal RNA (484 nucleotides) under uncultured bacterium. RNAcentral's name for it is "bacterial SSU rRNA". It matches the Rfam family "Bacterial small subunit ribosomal RNA", at positions 30 to 507 of the family's 1533-position model. The record is from RNAcentral.
AUUGUACGCUGGCGGCAGGCUUAACACAUGCAAGUCGAACGAGGUGUUGGGGCUUGCUCUAACACCUAGUGGCGAACGGGUGAGUAAUACUUGGGGAUCUGCCUCGUAGCGGGGGAUAACGUUUCGAAAGGAACGCUAAUACCGCAUACGUCCUACGGGAGAAAGCAGGGGAUCUUCGGACCUUGCACUAUGAGAUGAGCCCAAGCGAGAUUAGCUAGUUGGUAAGGUAAAGGCUUACCAAGGCGACAAUCUCUAGCUGGUCUGAGAGGAUGAUCAGCCACGCUGGAACUGAAACACGGUCCAAACUCCUACGGGAGGCAGCAGUGGGGAAUAUUGGACAAUGGGCGAAAGCCUGAUCCAGCCAUGCCGCGUGUGUGAAGAAGGCCUUAGGGUUGUAAAGCACUUUAAGCGAGGAGGAAUGGCUGAGGGUUAAUAACCUUCAGCAGUGACGUUACUCGCAAAAUAAGCACCGGCUAACUCUGUG